Long non-coding RNA from Coregonus clupeaformis (lake whitefish), 2555 nucleotides. RefSeq lists it as uncharacterized. The record is from RefSeq and is a predicted model, not a curated record. The transcript has 5 exons. NCBI's taxonomy places the organism in Eukaryota, Metazoa, Chordata, Actinopteri, Salmoniformes, Salmonidae.
UUAAAAAAAAAGCGUUGUUUAGAAGGAGUGCAAUGGCGAAUUGAGUUGUUGCACACGCGCACUUCACAGAGUAGUCGUUCCCUAACGGAAAUAUGCAAAUACGUACUAGAACGCACCAAUAGGCUCUCGCUAGCUCGUGCUUGGCUCUGCCCACCUCCUUGCUUGGUCUGCCCACUGUGAUUCCUUUGCUUCCGUUGGAAAGGACAUGCUGUGGUGUAUCUUGUUAGUUAUAAAACAUAUUUGUUUCUAGCUUCCGUUGCUAGGGCUGUUGCUAGAACUUGCACAAUUAUGACCGGUCUACGUAAUGAACCAAAGUGUCAGUUGCUGUGAUGGUUGCUUGUCGUAGAUCGCCAAAGACUGGGGACGCAGACAGUUCUAGUUCACCUCAUAAGCGCUCGCUCAGCCAGCAAAAUUAUUACCUCAGAAUCGCUCUCCUAGGACGGUGACUACCUGCUGCUUCAGAAUACCGAAAAGACUGGAAAUAGAACACUUUCUUUACCAUAUAUUUGUCUUUGUAUAAGAAAAUAUUGUUACAUAGGAAGAAAAAAUGUCAGCUGUUUUUAUAUUGGCAUUGCUAGCAACUGUACUUAUUUACCUCAGCCUGCCUAGUCAGCUAGCUAGCCAGACAGUUUUAUUUAGCUAACGUUAGCUAGCUACCUAACUGUUAAUGUAGCUUUCUGUUUGUAUGUAACUUGCACUUCAAUGGCAUACCUCGAGGAGAUUUUAUUUGAUCUUUCCAACCAGGCGAAGUACUAUGAAGGCAUCACUGAUCUCAACAAGAGGCGCAACAUUCGUUGGGGGCAGAGAAAUUCACAAUUCAGGGUGAGACUGAACAUCGACAAGGCACAGGACAAACGGAAGGAGAAUCAAGAAGGGACCAAGUGCUUCGACAUCUGGGCAAAUGACUUGGUUUGGAAGAAGGGUGAAAGGAAGGCGAGACCUGGGAAACCUCGCUGCUCUUUCGCUCCUAGCUGGGCUCAUCAUAUGUUAAGGGUUACCUCGGUGGAAGCCAACAAUCUUCUCCAGUUGGACAGUCGACCACUGAAAGCCCAGAUGCCUUAAACCUUUGAAGCCUAUGAGUCAAAGAUAAUCGACUGUCCGAGCCUCCCAGGAGGUAUCCCAGCCACCAGAGCCAGUGAGUUUGGAUCAGUCUAAUUCUCUGUGCUCUGAGUCAGAAGGGGACCCGCUUGAGGACCUAGAGGUUCUGCCCAACACCCAGAUGUGGAUCCACCUGAUGUCCUCUAUUACCAACCACCAUCUAACUUUUUUCAUUACAUCAUCUACAGCUUCUGUUAUUGUGAUGUUGUCAUUAUCUGCUAAGAAAGUUAUUGCUCUAUCAUAAUACUGGGCACAUAAAGUGAGAAACGCAAAUGAACUAAAAACACUAGCACUGCAAACACUCAGAACAUAGAGAGCAGCAGUGCCUGGACUUUGCAGUCUCCCUCUUCAAGUCCCACUUCCGAGACUGGCUGCCUGUUGAGAACAAGCGACAAGCAGAACCUCCCACCCACAAAGCACCUACCUCCUCCCUAUUCCACACACCAGAAAUCAGUACUUCAGUCUGAUUGCCAUGUGAGUGUACAAUAAAAUAUUUGAAAAUAAAUUAAUGACAACUGUACCAAGAAAUCUGUUUUAUAUAUUUAAAUCCUAAAUAUUGCCAGGUUGGUUUUCACAGCUGUUUCACAAGGUGUUCAUUGUUGUAAAUUGUAAGGUGUCCUUUGAUAUUUGUUAGAUCAACAUUAUUAAUUGUUGUAUCCUGGGACCUACAAUAUAUACAUAUAUUCAACCACAAGGGUGUACUAAUGGCCCCCAUUGAAUUUGUUAUGUUUGAGUUACCCAGAUAGCAUAAACCAUGGCAAAAUGUGUAGAACUGCCUGAAAUUAGCUUUAAAACGGUACAGUUUUCUCUCUGCCCCAUGGCAAACUGUGUUGAAUUGCAGGAAAUUAUCUUUAAAACAGCCUCUAGGGCCUCUUUUUUUUUGGUCAAAGGCCAAUUAUUAUUGGACAAGUCCAGGUAGUCCCUAUGUUUCAGUCAGUAUUUUUCACUGGAGCCCAAUGAACAUGACACAGUUGAUUGGAAUUGCUCCAUUUACACAAGUAUAAAUCAAUUUGAACCUUUUAUCAUGCUAGAAGACCUCUAAACUAAAGGAGUUGGACUGUCCAAAAUGUAUUAUUAACUUGCUGCUAUUGUCAAAAUGUAUAGUUUAACUGCUUGAUUGAGUAAAAAGCAUGAUCAAAUAAGAAUAUCCAUAAAUUAUUAUUAUUAUUAUUAUAAAAAUGAUUGUCAAGUUUAAUCUGUGUCUGGGAAACUGGCCUUUAAAGGCCUUGUUCAAAUCCCACAGAGGGAACAGUAAGUGACCUCCUACCUGCACCGCCCAAUGGAGGGCUGUCUUGUCCACCAGUGUGGGAUCUGCCCCUUUCUGCAGGAGAACCUGCACAUGCUGAGGGUGGUUGUGGAAAGACGCCCAAUGAAGAGCAGUCAUGCCCUAUGGAGAACCAAUGAGAAUCGGUCAUAUUGCAAACUAGACAUACAGUGCCUUGCAAAAGUAUUCAUCC